AUUUAGAGGAAGGAGAAGUCGUAACAAGGUUUCCGUAGGUGAACCUGCGGAAGGAUCAUUGUCGAAACCUGCCUAGCAGAACGACCCGCGAACACGUUCAACCAAAACUACUCGGCCGGGGGAAAGCUCGGGCUCCGCCCCGGCGGUCCCGCGUUCCCCCUCGGCCUAACAACGAACCCCGGCGCGAUCUGCGCCAAGGAACUACAACGCAGAGAGCAUGCCACCGGCACGCCGGAGCGGCUGAUCUCUCGAUUAAAAGAAUCCAAAACGACUCUCGGCAACGGAUAUCUCGGCUCUCGCAUCGAUGAAGAACGUAGCGAAAUGCGAUACUUGGUGUGAAUUGCAGAAUCCCGUGAACCAUCGAGUCUUUGAACGCAAGUUGCGCCCUAAGCCAUUAGGCCGAGGGCACGCCUGCCUGGGUGUCACGCAUCGUCGCCCCCCCUCCAAAGCCCCUCGCGUCGCGAGGUGCCCGAGGGGGGCGGAAACUGGCCUCCCGUGUGCUUUCCCCGCCCGCGGUUGGCCGAAAAUCGAGUCCCACGGCGUCCGAGCGCCGCGACAAACGGUGGUUGGCCUGAUCCAAAGACCUCAGAACACCGUCGCGCGCGCCCGUCGCCAACGAGGUGGGUGCUCCACGACCCUAAUCUUUCGCAUCGCGACCCCAGGUCAGGCGGGACUACCCGCUGAGUUUA
RNAcentral lists this ribosomal RNA (689 nucleotides) under Sloanea sinensis. Its description in RNAcentral is "eukaryotic LSU rRNA". The stretch from base 270 to 425 matches the Rfam family "5.8S ribosomal RNA". The record is from RNAcentral. Lineage: Eukaryota; Viridiplantae; Streptophyta; Magnoliopsida; Oxalidales; Elaeocarpaceae.